CCUACGGGAGGCAGCAGUAGGGAAUAUUGCUCAAUGGGGGAAACCCUGAAGCAGCAACGCCGCGUGGAGGAUGAAGGUUUUCGGAUUGUAAACCCCUUUUGUUAGAGAAGAUAAUGACGGUAUCUAACGAAUAAGCACCGGCUAACUCCAUGCCAGCAGCCGCGGUAAUCCGGGGGGCGCAAGCGUUACUCGGAAUAACUGGGGGUAAAGAGCGCGUAGGCGGGAUAGAAAGUCAGAUGUGAAAUCUUCUGGCUUAACCAUAGAACUGCAUUUGAAACUGGUAUUCUAGAGUAUGGGAGAGGUAGGUGGAAUGCUUGGUGUAGGGGUAAAAUCCGUAGAUAUCAAGAGGAAUACUCAUUGCGAAGGCGACCUGCUAGACCAUAACUGACGCUGAUGCGCGAAAGCGUGGGGAGCAAACAGGAUUAGAUACCCCUGUAGUC
RNAcentral lists this ribosomal RNA (440 nucleotides) under uncultured bacterium. Its description in RNAcentral is "partial 16S ribosomal RNA". It matches the Rfam family "Bacterial small subunit ribosomal RNA", at positions 338 to 795 of the family's 1533-position model. The record is from RNAcentral.